CAGCCGUAAACUAUGCGCGUUAGGUGUAUCGGUGACCACGAGUUACCGAGGUGCCGAAGGGAAACCGUGAAACGUGCCGCUUGGGAAGUACGGUCGCAAGGCUGAAACUUAAAGGAAUUGGCGGGGGAGCACCACAACAGGUGGAGCCUGCGGUUUAAUUGGACUCAACGCCGGGAAGCUCACCGGAUAGGACAGCAGAAUGAUUGCCGGGCUGAAGACCCUGCAUGACUAGCUGAGAGGAGGUGCAUGGCGUAGACGUCU
RNAcentral lists this ribosomal RNA (261 nucleotides) under uncultured archaeon. RNAcentral describes it as "partial 16S ribosomal RNA". It matches the Rfam family "Archaeal small subunit ribosomal RNA", at positions 748 to 1009 of the family's 1478-position model. The record is from RNAcentral.